Triticum aestivum (bread wheat) is the source of this 3865-nucleotide long non-coding RNA. RefSeq lists it as uncharacterized. Lineage: Eukaryota; Viridiplantae; Streptophyta; Magnoliopsida; Poales; Poaceae. The record is from RefSeq and is a predicted model, not a curated record. The transcript is spliced from 7 exons.
GUGAGCCAGCUGAUCGAUCUUUUUUAAUUCAGGAUAGCAAGGGAUACGGUAUGGAGGUUUGCCGUACGCCGCGCCGGUGACGGAGGCCGCAGCUGGCGCCGUGACGGCAGAUUCCCGGAGCCGUGGCCCGGGACGCUGUUGUACUCCUGAUCCGUAGCUCAGGAACUGAGCACUCCGGUAAGCCGAGCUGUGGACCGUAGUAAAUGAGGAAGCAGGCCAGGGCGGUGCUGUCUCCCACCUCUCUCCACGUUUUGUUGGAUCGCCAUUGACGCCCCGCGGAGGUCGGCGGUGCAGGGAAAACAGGGCGGCGACUGUCGGGCUGGAGUUCCUGAUGCAAACUAUUAGGAGCGCCGCGGUGAUGGAAGAGGUCAACGACAACGAGCUACCAAUGGAGCCGCUGCACUACCCCGCGGUGGCGGCAGGAGCCGAGGAGCUACGGCCAAUGGGCACAGGUCGCGUUGACGACGAGAUCUGUGUAGCUCGUGGAGCAGUUGCAUCCGAGCAGGAUAAGGAACCACAAGCAUCUGAGCAAUCAAUUGGGCAGAUGAUCCAAAAACUCCGGCUGGACUCGCAGAGUUAGAAUUGGAGCUGCUGCUCCAGGAAGGGUGCCUUGCCCUGGCUGACCCAGCGCCCUUGAGAAGGCAAUACGGGGGUUCGGUGACAAACCAUGCAACAUUGUAAUCGUGCCAGAACUGGGUACAAGCUUCGACAAGCUCGGGGAGGCCUAUGAUUUUUAUUUGCAGGGUAAAGCAGGGGUGGAAACACACUAGAUCAUGCAGAUGUGUGUACCCUACAUUAAUAAGACUGCUUCGAUCGAAGGACAAUGAUUGGUACAUAGCUGAGCAUCGAGAACAUCACAACCAUUCACUGUCUCCAACAUAUGGGCAGACAAUACACUGGCCUUCCCACAAGCACAUUGAUACAUACAAUGGAGAUUUGGGGAGCAGCUGCGUCAGAACAAUGUCAAUCUAGCCAAAGUGCAUAGCAUAAUAGGAAGCUUUUUGGUUCAAUGGAAAAGGUGCCAUUCACGAAAAGAGCUCUGAAAUUUUUGUGUGAAAAAAUCAGCAGAGAGCAAGCAGAGAAUGAUGUGAGGAAAACAAUGGAGGUUUUUGCAGGUCUGGGUUCAACGGACCCACACUUCACUUACCGUGUGCAGGCAGACAAGGAUGGUCGGAUAACAACUCUGAUGUGGGCAAAUGGGAGCAUUAGAUUGCAGUACACCUUCUUUGGAGAUGUUUUUACCUUCGAUACAACAUACAGAACAAAUCUGUACAACAUGCCGUUUGGUCUGUUUGUAGGAGUGAAUAAUCAUUUCCAGAGCAUCAUCUUGGCUGGGAUUUUGGUCCGUGAUGAAAAAGUGGAGACUUUUGAGUGGGUUUCCACAGAAUGCGUUAGGAUGAUGGCUGGAAGUGCACCAAAGACAAUUCUAACAGAUCAAAACCGUGCGAUGGAGGUUGCCAUAAAAAAUGUGAUGCCUCAAACAGCACACCGAUGGUGUAAGUGGCACGUGCUGAAAAAGGCGAAGGAAUCACUCGGUUCAUUGUACACCAAGAAGAGCGAGUUCACGGCACAGUUCCACAAGGUAGUAAAUCACAUGCUUACGAUCGAUGAAUUCGAGGAAGCAUGGAAGAUACUGGUUGAGUAAUAUAAUUUAAAGACGCAUGACUACAUGACUCGAACUGUAUGAAAUAAGACACAAGUGGGCGAAGCCAUAUUUCAAAGGUGUUUUCUGUGCUAAGAUGACAAGCACCCAAUGCAGUGAAAGUGCAAACCACAUGCUGAAGAGCUAUGUCCCACCUGGUUGUCUGAUGCAUAUGUUUGUCAAAAAAUACAUGAGACUGCAGUUUGACAGGGAAGCUGAGGAGAACUACGAGGAGAAACGGACACGAAUAGUAAGUCAACGUUUGGUAAUUGCCACUAGUUUUGUAGUGCUGACCUCUACGUUUCAGGGUAGAACACUAUACAAAGCAAACUUAGCUAUUGACAGACAUGCUGGUAAGAUAUAGACACGUGCUAUGUUCGAGCAGUUUGGACAUAUACUCUAUGAGUGCGGUGCAUACCAAGUUGAGGAGCUUGAGAAAGGGAAACUGUAUCUUGCGAUUCAUACAGAGGCUGCAAGGAGAGAAAAGUGGUGUAGGGUGUCAUAUAAGGUAAAUGUUCUUGAAGGAGGUGAGGAAUUCGAUUGCGAGUGUGGGCAAUUUGCACACAUGAGACUCCUUUGUAGCCAUGUUUUGAAGGUGAUGGAUUUCAUUCGUAUUACAGAGAUACCGCCGAAACACAUUGUGAAGCGAUGGACGAGGGACGCGUGUGAUGUGCUGCCAGCCCAUCUUACUCAAUACCAGAGAGAUCAUGCACACAAAAAUACAAGCACCAACAGCAGCUGCUGUGAGUGGGGGUGCAGGCAUCGAGGCAGUGAAUGAUGAUGCUACUUCUGGAAAUGAGACUGGGAACAGACACACUGGUUUAUUGGCGCCGAAGAAAUGGAAAGAAAUGGGGCGCCCAACAACCAGCCGGGAGAAGGCACCGUACGAGGGACUCAGCAAGCGGACAAUGUUCUGCAGCAUAUGUCGGCAGCAGGGGCACAAGAGGACUACAUGCCUGGACCGGGGAGAUGCCCCGAAGCCUGUUUGUAAACCAGCAAGGUGCAAGAAUUGUGGGAUUGAAGGUCACAGACGGAACAACUGCCAGAAAUUGGGUGAUUUACGGAUGAUUGGCUUGUGAGGAGGUGCAGCAGACUAUGUACUUAAGACAAUAAUUCUGUAGAGCUUAAUGUGUGCAACUGUAGUUCCAUGCUAUAGAAUUAUAGGUACCACCAUUUCUGAGCACUAUGGUGGUGUGUAUGCUUCUGAAUUUUUGGGCAAUAAGUUGGAGUUCAUAAUUGGAAAAUAUAAUAAAAAUGUACUGAGGUGAAGCAUACUGAAUUUUGAAGAACUACGGUAGUGUCUACAUUCCUGAAUUUUUGGGCAAUAAGUUGGAGUUCAUAAUUGGAAAAUAUAAUAAAAAUGUACUGAGGUGAAGCAUACUGAAUUUUGAAGCACUACAGUAGUGUCUACAUUUCUGAAUUUUUGGGCAAUUUGUUGAUGUCCAGAAUUUGAAAAUUUUAUAAUUAAAGUUCUGCUUUUCUGAAUUUGUAUGCAAUAUGGUGAUGCAUACUGAAUUUCUUAGCACGAUGGUGGUGCCUAUAAUUCUAUAGCAUGGUGCACAGGCAGAGUCCUCUCUCAGAGUCUGACCAUUUUUUUUGAAAUGGGAGUCUGACCAUUAGAAACACACUGUUCUUGCUGGAUUGCAAAAUCAGAUCCAUCUCAGAAGCUGGAUGGAGUAUCCGCAGAGGUGCAGGUAUCUGAUGCAUCUGAAAAGUUCACUCAACCAGCCUGACGGAGGAGAACUAGCUGCUAGUUCAUCAAGGAGUGUCUGCAGUGGUUGGGCAGCGGACGGCGCGUGCAAACGAGGAACUGCAAGCGGAGAAGAUAGGGGAUGGAUGUAUAUCGCGAGGAAGAAGAUGGGUAGACUGGUGGUGGGUGCUGGUCCACAAUAAAUGGUUAUCAGACGGCGUCGGCUCAGGAUCCGCGCUAUACCGGCCUAGUUCGCUAGUGCAUGUCUGAGCCAAAGCCUACUUAGCUGACGGCGUAUCAAGCCCGUUACGAGAGGCAUGGGCCCUCAUAACUGUUCACCUGGUGAUAUACGGGAAUAAUGCCUGGGCUUAUACCGGAUGGAUUGGGGAUCACGAGGAUUGUAGGCGGGUAGGAUACCAAGAGCGCCUGUGCUCGGGCACAGAAGAUCACUUUCGCUUCUCUGAUCUAUAUGCUCAUAUUACUCCCUCCUUCCCAAAUUAGGAUGCUUAUCCAGAGAUGUUCAUAUUAGUUUU